Molecule: ribosomal RNA, 292 nt
Filed under: uncultured bacterium
Lineage: Bacteria
Description: partial 16S ribosomal RNA
Rfam family: Bacterial small subunit ribosomal RNA
Source: RNAcentral
GUGCCAGCAGCCGCGGUAAUACGUAGGGGGCAAGCGUUGUCCGGAUUUAUUGGGCGUAAAGAGCUCGUAGGCGGCUGGUCACGUCGGGUGUGAAAGCUCAGAGCUCAACUCUGAGAGGCCAUUCGAUACGGAUCAGCUAGAGGUAGGUAGGGGAAAGUGGAAUUCCUGGUGUAGCGGUGAAAUGCGCAGAUAUCAGGAGGAACACCGGUGGCGAAGGCGGCUUUCUGGGCCUUACCUGACGCUGAGGAGCGAAAGCUGGGGGAGCGAACAGGAUUAGAAACCCCGGUAGUCC